Molecule: transfer-messenger RNA, 385 nt
Filed under: human gut metagenome
Rfam family: transfer-messenger RNA
About the family: Bacterial tmRNA, also known as 10Sa RNA or SsrA, is named for its dual tRNA and mRNA-like properties. Its role is to liberate the mRNA from a stalled ribosome. To accomplish this part of the tmRNA is used as a reading frame that ends in a translation stop signal.
Source: RNAcentral
GGGGCUGCUUGGUUUCGACGGAUUUGUUUGGACUUAAACUGCAAGUCGGAGGUACACGUUAAGUACAAAAAAGCAAUAAAUGCAAACAAAAUUAAAUCUGUUUACAACAAUGUUUUAAGAGCUUUCUCUUCAAACGUUGCUUUUGCCUAAUAAUUUAAGGUAACAGGCUUUUAUAAGUUCUCUCUUAUCGGAAUUUAUAGAGGUUCAUUUUAGAUAAGAUAGUUUAUUUUAUAGUCUAGUAAAAUAAAUGAAAAAAAUAGACUUACUAAAAAAGAGAUUGUUUAUUAUCUAUAUUUUUUAGGACAAAUAAUUAAUAAACUAAGCUUGUAGACGUUUAUUUACUGGAUGAUUUCGGACAGGAGUUCGAUUCUCCUCAGCUCCACCA